RNAcentral lists this ribosomal RNA (127 nucleotides) under Alteromonas sp. I10. Lineage: Bacteria; Pseudomonadati; Pseudomonadota; Gammaproteobacteria; Alteromonadales; Alteromonadaceae. The record is from RNAcentral.
UACCAGUUUUUCCUGGCAGCCAUAGCGAUACGGUACCACCUGACUCCAUUCCGAACUCAGAAGUGAAACGUAUUAGCGCCGAUGGUAGUGUGGGGUUUCCCCAUGUGAGAGUAGGACACUGCCAGGU